This is a non-coding RNA of Hypoxylon sp. FL1150, 78 nucleotides long. The record is from the annotation of a GenBank genome assembly. Lineage: Eukaryota; Fungi; Ascomycota; Sordariomycetes; Xylariales; Hypoxylaceae.
GCUGGGGUGGUCUAGUGGUAUGAUGCUGGGACAGCAGGCCUCGACCGGAGGUCGUCGGUUCGAAUCCGACCCUCGGCA